Molecule: transfer RNA, 66 nt
Filed under: Pupilla muscorum
Lineage: Eukaryota; Metazoa; Mollusca; Gastropoda; Stylommatophora; Pupillidae
Description: tRNA-Cys
Source: RNAcentral
AGGUUAGUAGUUUAGAAAAAAAACAGGUAAUUUGCAAAAUUACUAAAGAAAAAUUUUCCUUACCUU